CUCGGGAGAGGAGAAGGACAGACGGCCGCUGCCCUGCUCAUCAGCCAGGCUGCCAUGUAGCAGCUCUUUGACACUCCUCACAGGCCCCCGAUCUCCCUCCCUAUGGAGCGGUGGGGGUUAUCCUGGUCCCCAUUGGAGGGUGCCGACACCAGUACAGAUUACCUGCAAGCCCAUCCAGCAGUCAGACACCAAAAAACGGUGACUAUGCUGCCUACAAUGGGCAAAGCUGCCUGUUCACAG
Non-coding RNA from Pelobates cultripes (western spadefoot toad), 240 nucleotides. The record is from the annotation of a GenBank genome assembly. NCBI's taxonomy places the organism in Eukaryota, Metazoa, Chordata, Amphibia, Anura, Pelobatidae.